RNAcentral lists this ribosomal RNA (2376 nucleotides) under human gut metagenome. Its description in RNAcentral is "bacterial LSU rRNA". It matches the Rfam family "Bacterial large subunit ribosomal RNA", at positions 14 to 2416 of the family's 2925-position model. The record is from RNAcentral.
AGCGUACACGGUGGAUGCCCUGGCAGUCAGAGGCGAUGAAGGACGUGCUAAUCUGCGAUAAGCGUCGGUAAGGUGAUAUGAACCGUUAUAACCGGCGAUUUCCGAAUGGGGAAACCCAGUGUGUUUCGACACACUAUCAUUAACUGAAUCCAUAGGUUAAUGAGGCGAACCGGGGGAACUGAAACAUCUAAGUACCCCGAGGAAAAGAAAUCAACCGAGAUUCCCCCAGUAGCGGCGAGCGAACGGGGAGCAGCCCAGAGCCUGAAUCAGUGUGUGUGUUAGUGGAAGCGUCUGGAAAGGCGCGCGAUACAGGGUGACAGCCCCGUACACAAAAAUGCACAUGCUGUGAGCUCGAUGAGUAGGGCGGGACACGUGGUAUCCUGUCUGAAUAUGGGGGGACCAUCCUCCAAGGCUAAAUACUCCUGACUGACCGAUAGUGAACCAGUACCGUGAGGGAAAGGCGAAAAGAACCCCGGCGAGGGGAGUGAAAAAGAACCUGAAACCGUGUACGUACAAGCAGUGGGAGCACGCUUAGGCGUGUGACUGCGUACCUUUUGUAUAAUGGGUCAGCGACUUAUAUUCUGUAGCAAGGUUAACCGAAUAGGGGAGCCGAAGGGAAACCGAGUCUUAACUGGGCGUUAAGUUGCAGGGUAUAGACCCGAAACCCGGUGAUCUAGCCAUGGGCAGGUUGAAGGUUGGGUAACACUAACUGGAGGACCGAACCGACUAAUGUUGAAAAAUUAGCGGAUGACUUGUGGCUGGGGGUGAAAGGCCAAUCAAACCGGGAGAUAGCUGGUUCUCCCCGAAAGCUAUUUAGGUAGCGCCUCGUGAAUUCAUCUCCGGGGGUAGAGCACUGUUUCGGCAAGGGGGUCAUCCCGACUUACCAACCCGAUGCAAACUGCGAAUACCGGAGAAUGUUAUCACGGGAGACACACGGCGGGUGCUAACGUCCGUCGUGAAGAGGGAAACAACCCAGACCGCCAGCUAAGGUCCCAAAGUCAUGGUUAAGUGGGAAACGAUGUGGGAAGGCCCAGACAGCCAGGAUGUUGGCUUAGAAGCAGCCAUCAUUUAAAGAAAGCGUAAUAGCUCACUGGUCGAGUCGGCCUGCGCGGAAGAUGUAACGGGGCUAAACCAUGCACCGAAGCUGCGGCAGCGACACUAUGUGUUGUUGGGUAGGGGAGCGUUCUGUAAGCCUGCGAAGGUGUGCUGUGAGGCAUGCUGGAGGUAUCAGAAGUGCGAAUGCUGACAUAAGUAACGAUAAAGCGGGUGAAAAGCCCGCUCGCCGGAAGACCAAGGGUUCCUGUCCAACGUUAAUCGGGGCAGGGUGAGUCGACCCCUAAGGCGAGGCCGAAAGGCGUAGUCGAUGGGAAACAGGUUAAUAUUCCUGUACUUGGUGUUACUGCGAAGGGGGGACGGAGAAGGCUAUGUUGGCCGGGCGACGGUUGUCCCGGUUUAAGCGUGUAGGCUGGUUUUCCAGGCAAAUCCGGAAAAUCAAGGCUGAGGCGUGAUGACGAGGCACUACGGUGCUGAAGCAACAAAUGCCCUGCUUCCAGGAAAAGCCUCUAAGCAUCAGGUAACAUCAAAUCGUACCCCAAACCGACACAGGUGGUCAGGUAGAGAAUACCAAGGCGCUUGAGAGAACUCGGGUGAAGGAACUAGGCAAAAUGGUGCCGUAACUUCGGGAGAAGGCACGCUGAUAUGUAGGUGAAGUCCCUCGCGGAUGGAGCUGAAAUCAGUCGAAGAUACCAGCUGGCUGCAACUGUUUAUUAAAAACACAGCACUGUGCAAACACGAAAGUGGACGUAUACGGUGUGACGCCUGCCCGGUGCCGGAAGGUUAAUUGAUGGGGUUAGCGCAAGCGAAGCUCUUGAUCGAAGCCCCGGUAAACGGCGGCCGUAACUAUAACGGUCCUAAGGUAGCGAAAUUCCUUGUCGGGUAAGUUCCGACCUGCACGAAUGGCGUAAUGAUGGCCAGGCUGUCUCCACCCGAGACUCAGUGAAAUUGAACUCGCUGUGAAGAUGCAGUGUACCCGCGGCAAGACGGAAAGACCCCGUGAACCUUUACUAUAGCUUGACACUGAACAUUGAGCCUUGAUGUGUAGGAUAGGUGGGAGGCUUUGAAGCGUGGACGCCAGUCUGCGUGGAGCCAACCUUGAAAUACCACCCUUUAAUGUUUGAUGUUCUAACGUUGGCCCCUGACCGGGGUUGCGGACAGUGUCUGGUGGGUAGUUUGACUGGGGCGGUCUCCUCCCAAAGCGUAACGGAGGAGCACGAAGGUUAGCUAAUCCUGGUCGGACAUCAGGAGGUUAGUGCAAUGGCAUAAGCUAGCUUGACUGCGAGCGUGACGGCGCGAGCAGGUGCGAAAGCAGGUCAUAGU